Bombyx mori (domestic silkworm) is the source of this 86-nucleotide non-coding RNA. The record is from Rfam. NCBI's taxonomy places the organism in Eukaryota, Metazoa, Arthropoda, Insecta, Lepidoptera, Bombycidae.
GUGACUCAAAUUUGUAAGGAGUUUGAAAAGCUUCUCUUCGUUUACCGCUAGGGGCGCUGUUCCAACUUCAUACAAAUUUCGAGUUA